CGCGGCGCGCACACUGACCGCCCGCGUUGUACCUUACCUGCCUCGCGUGCGUCUUCACCGGUCCCCGGCGGCUCCAAAUCCGAGCAAGUUCUACCGGCGCGGAACAGGCUGCCGUUCCCCAGUCGCGGUUUUCCGAGUCCUUGUUGUUGGAAAACGCGUCGGCUUCCUCCCCGUUUUCCCUGAUCUGGUGAGACGCUGGAAUCCCGCGUUUUCCUGACGAGGUCCGUGGACCAUGGGCAGACUGUCUGAUUUCUAAUUGAGGAGGAAGGCAAAGCGCUUUGAAGAGCUCACCACACACACCUUUAUGGUUCUCUUUAAAGAAGCCUCACCGAAGUGUCAAUGGACACCUGGCACCUGCCGCCUUUGCUUGGAAACUGAGAAGUUCUGUUGUGCUGCAGUGUUUGCUGAGGCUAUCACAGCAGAAGGAAUGCUGAUUCUGUCCCUUUUAACCCCUGUGUGAAACUGACUUUCAUACACUGUGCA
This 483-nucleotide long non-coding RNA is filed under the name Bos mutus (wild yak). RNAcentral's name for it is "lncRNA (ENSBMUG00000013777.1)". Lineage: Eukaryota; Metazoa; Chordata; Mammalia; Artiodactyla; Bovidae. The record is from RNAcentral.